UACAAGCAUACAUUCCAGGG
RNAcentral lists this unclassified non-coding RNA (20 nucleotides) under Mus musculus (house mouse). RNAcentral describes it as "oocyte_clustered_small_RNA1101". Lineage: Eukaryota; Metazoa; Chordata; Mammalia; Rodentia; Muridae. The record is from RNAcentral.